Molecule: unclassified non-coding RNA, 211 nt
Filed under: plant metagenome
Description: partial contains small subunit ribosomal RNA, internal transcribed spacer 1, and 5.8S ribosomal RNA
Source: RNAcentral
UUUCCGUAGGUGAACCUGCGGAAGGAUCAUUCAUAAUAAAGUGUUUUAUGGCACUUUUUAAAAAUCCAUAUCCACCUUGUGUGCAAUGUUGGAUCUCGUCAAUCUUGGCGAGAUUUUUAUACAUCAACUCAUUCUUUAACUAAUUUGUCUGAAAAAUAUUAUGAAUACUUAAUUCAAAAUACAACUUUCAACAACGGAUCUCUUGGCUCUC